This 253-nucleotide ribosomal RNA is filed under the name uncultured bacterium. RNAcentral describes it as "partial 16S ribosomal RNA". It matches the Rfam family "Bacterial small subunit ribosomal RNA", at positions 524 to 776 of the family's 1533-position model. The record is from RNAcentral.
UACGUAGGGGGCUAGCGUUGUCCGGAUUUAUUGGGCGUAAAGGGCGCGUAGGCGGCCUUCUAAGUCGAACGUGAAAUCCCCGGGCUCAACCCGGGAACUGCGUCCGAUACUGGAAGGCUUGAAUCCGGGAGAGGGAUGCGGAAUUCCAGGUGUAGCGGUGAAAUGCGUAGAUAUCUGGAGGAACACCGGUGGCGAAGGCGGCAUCCUGGACCGGCAUUGACGCUGAGGCGCGAAAGCCAGGGGAGCAAACGGG